UUUUUUCUCUCUCUAAACACCUAACUAGUGAGAGAAAGUAUGAAAGUGAGAUUUUUCAAGGGUUUUGAAGUAAAAGAGUGAAAAAGCACAAGGGUUCCAUGAAAAGGUGCACAAAGGCAUGAAAAUUGGAGCUAGAGAGAGAAAGUUAUGAAGUUUUCAUAUCAUGCUUCCAUGGAGGGGGAAACAAACGUGAGAUGAAAGGAGAAAGAAGAAGAAG
RNAcentral lists this long non-coding RNA (217 nucleotides) under Theobroma cacao (cacao). RNAcentral's name for it is "long non-coding RNA (TCAC_LNC003205)". The record is from RNAcentral. Lineage: Eukaryota; Viridiplantae; Streptophyta; Magnoliopsida; Malvales; Malvaceae.